Molecule: long non-coding RNA, 1120 nt
Filed under: Elaeis guineensis (African oil palm)
Lineage: Eukaryota; Viridiplantae; Streptophyta; Magnoliopsida; Arecales; Arecaceae
Description: long non-coding RNA (EGUI_LNC066706)
Source: RNAcentral
UGUAUUUUGAUAAUUUUUCAUCAAAAUUUUAAAUUUUUUAGAUAAUUAUGACACAUUGCUAGAUAUCAAUCUUGACUUAUAGAUUUAUUAGAAUUAAAAGAGUUUAAUUUUAAAGAUAAUUUGGAGGAGUCCAAGUUGAUUGGGACUCUUCGGGUGACCUAAUCUCAUCGGAUUAUGGUUACGUCGAAAGUCUUAGUCUACUACUAGCUAGAUUUGGAACCCAAUGGAUCACACACUUUGAAAUUUAAUCUUGAUUUGAUCUAAUUAGAGUUUAAUCUAAAUUUUAUAGAUUAAUUUGAUAUGCUAGCACAUUGUAUUAACCCAAGUUCCCAAAUUGGUUUAGAUCAAAGUGUUUGAGCUAAUCUACACCAGUUGGCUUUGACCUAAUGAGAUUGGGUCAAUUUGGAUUGGAUCCUUAUCCAACUUGAAAGAGUUUCAAGUGGAGAAGGAGUCUUAUGCGCCCACAAGAACUCACGGCAAAAAUAAAUGCUGCCUCCUUUAUUUUAGGCAUGUGAAAGGAAGAGUCCUUAAUGAGGACUCUUAAUUUUCUAUGCAUUACCUCAAAUUCCCGACUAGAAAUCCUAUGUUUCGAUGCCAAAAUUUAUUAAUUUUUUUAUAACAUAUAGAAGACUAAGAGUCCUUCUGCUUCAAGUAACUAGAUCAUCAAAAAUUCACUUUGUAAAUUUAUUUGGUGCAUGGGAAGUUGGAGCGCCAAAGGUUGGCACCCCUUCAUUCCAUAUGACGUCCCCUGGUCCCCUAUUUAUAGGGGAUGCCCCACAUAGCUUCUGGUGGUGAUUUUUGGCUAAAACCAAGAAAAGGGACAUGAUAAACAUAGAAAAAAUUCUAAAAAAUUUUGAGAAAAAGAAAAGAGAGAAUUUUGAGCGGCAAAAGUUGCUACAAGAUUGGUAAGAUUUUCAGUAAGUGUUGCUUAAGUGCCCUAGGAUUUGAUUUUUUCAUAUAUUGAAGCCAAAAAUUAAAUCCUAAGUUGUAUGACAUCUAAAGAAUAUCUUCUUGAAAUCAUUUUGGUGGUGAGAUCAAAAGCAACUGAACUUUGGUACGAUCGUGAUGCAAAUUUGAAGCCAGUAGUAUUCUUGAGAAGACAAGACAGCAGCAGCGCACC